AGUGAACGCUGGCGGUAGGCCUAACACAUGCAAGUCGAACGGCAGCACAGUAAGAGCUUGCUCUUACGGGUGGCGAGUGGCGGACGGGUGAGGAAUACAUCGGAAUCUACUUUUUCGUGGGGGAUAACGUAGGGAAACUUACGCUAAUACAGCAUACGACCUACGGGUGAAAGCAGGGGAUCUCCGGACCUUGCGCGAUUGAAUGAGCCGAUGUCGGAUUAGCUAGUUGGCGGGGUAAAGGCCCACCAAGGCGACGAUCCGUAGCUGGUCUGAGAGGAUGACCAGCCACACUGGGACUGAGACACGGUCCAGACUCCUACGGGAGGCAGCAGUGGGGAAUAUUGGACAAUGGGCGCAAGCCUGAUCCAGCCAUACCGCGUGGGUGAAGAAGGCCUUCGGGUUGUAAAGCCCUUUUGUUGGGAAAGAAAAGCAUCAGGUUAAUACCCCGCUGUUCUGACGGUACCCAAAGAAUAAGCACCGGCUAACUUCGUG
RNAcentral lists this ribosomal RNA (492 nucleotides) under uncultured bacterium. Its description in RNAcentral is "partial 16S ribosomal RNA". It matches the Rfam family "Bacterial small subunit ribosomal RNA", at positions 29 to 507 of the family's 1533-position model. The record is from RNAcentral.